RNAcentral lists this ribosomal RNA (336 nucleotides) under Triticum aestivum (bread wheat). RNAcentral describes it as "partial small subunit ribosomal RNA". Lineage: Eukaryota; Viridiplantae; Streptophyta; Magnoliopsida; Poales; Poaceae. The record is from RNAcentral.
AUGGCGCGCCUACUGCUGCACCUCGAGCGCCGGGCAGGGAAGGUGGCGCUGCGAGAGCAGGGGAGGCGAGACGGCGCGGAGAGAGGAGAAGAAGGGCUCGAGGAUGGAGAGGUCCUAUGGAAAAUUAAGAAAUGCUAUCCAGUCUCACCUGAUUUUGCUGCCAACUUCCAUCAGUACGGCUCCUCCUUUGCAUCAACCAUUAGUCAUCACUCAUUUAUCAGAACCUGCGCCGCCGCCGACCGCCUCUGGACGCUGCCUCGGUGUGGGGGUGGGGUUGUGGAUGGCUCACGCGUGGGGGGAGUGGAGAGGUGGAGCUGCUCCUGCCGUCGUGCGUGA